AUUGAACGCUGGCGGCAGGCUUAACACAUGCAAGUCGAGCGGAGCGAGGGUGCUUGCACCUUAGCUUAGCGGCGGACGGGUGAGUAAUGCUUAGGAAUCUGCCUAUUAGUGGGGGACAACAUUCCGAAAGGGAUGCUAAUACCGCAUACGCCCUACGGGGGAAAGCAGGGGAUCACUUGUGACCUUGCGCUAAUAGAUGAGCCUAAGUCGGAUUAGCUAGUUGGUGGGGUAAAGGCCUACCAAGGCGACGAUCUGUAGCGGGUCUGAGAGGAUGAUCCGCCACACUGGGACUGAGACACGGCCCAGACUCCUACGGGAGGCAGCAGUGGGGAAUAUUGGACAAUGGGGGGAACCCUGAUCCAGCCAUGCCGCGUGUGUGAAGAAGGCCUUUUGGUUGUAAAGCACUUUAAGCGAGGAGGAGGCGCUCUAGGAUAAUACCCUAGAUGCGUGGACGUACUCGCAGAA
This 465-nucleotide ribosomal RNA is filed under the name Acinetobacter sp. oral taxon C51. RNAcentral describes it as "bacterial SSU rRNA". It matches the Rfam family "Bacterial small subunit ribosomal RNA", at positions 30 to 486 of the family's 1533-position model. The record is from RNAcentral. Lineage: Bacteria; Pseudomonadati; Pseudomonadota; Gammaproteobacteria; Moraxellales; Moraxellaceae.